GGGAACGUAUUCACGGCAGCGUGCUGAUCUGCCAUUACUAGCGAUUCCAGCUUCAUGCAGGCGAGUUGCAGCCUGCAAUCCGAACUGAGACCGGUUUUUUGCGAUUGGCUCCCCUUCGCAGGUUAGCGACGCUUUGUACCGGCCAUUGUAGCACGUGUGUAGCCCUGGACAUAAAGGCCAUGAGGACUUGACGUCAUCCCCACCUUCCUCCAGCUUAUCGCUGGCGGUCUCCUGCGAGUUCCGCCUUUCGGCAUGGCAACACAGGACAAGGGUUGCGCUCGUUGCGGGACUUAACCCAACAUCUCACGACACGAGCUGACGACAGCCAUGCAGCACCUCGACUCCACUCCCUUGCGGGAUAACCGUGUUUCCACGAUCGUUAAGAAGCCGUUCGAGCCCAG
RNAcentral lists this ribosomal RNA (401 nucleotides) under uncultured bacterium. RNAcentral's name for it is "partial 16S ribosomal RNA". The record is from RNAcentral.